This 301-nucleotide ribosomal RNA is filed under the name uncultured bacterium. RNAcentral describes it as "partial 16S ribosomal RNA". It matches the Rfam family "Bacterial small subunit ribosomal RNA", at positions 509 to 809 of the family's 1533-position model. The record is from RNAcentral.
CAGUCGCCGCGGGAAUACAGAGGGUGCGAGCGUUAAUCGGAUUUACUGGGCGUAAAGCGUGCGUAGGCGGCUUUUUAAGUCGGAUGUGAAAUCCCUGAGCUUAACUUAGGAAUUGCAUUCGAUACUGGGAAGCUAGAGUAUGGGAGAGGAUGGUAGAAUUCCAGGUGUAGCGGUGAAAUGCGUAGAGAUCUGGAGGAAUACCGAUGGCGAAGGCAGCCAUCUGGCCUAAUACUGACGCUGAGGUACGAAAGCAUGGGGAGCAAACAGGAUUAGAUACCCCUGUAGUCCCUGUCUCUUAUAA